UUGUAUUUUGAAUGAGAAUUGUUUCCGGGGAGGACAUUACAAGAAAUUAUAUUUCGUAAAUUUUAAAGGGGGAGUUGCUUAUCUAUCCUUGAAAAUUUUUCGACUUUCUAAUUUAUAACUCUUAGAAAGCUAAUAUUAAAAAUAUUCUUUUAUUGUUCUAAGUUAUUUCAAAUAUAUCUCUAGAGUUAAAUUUUGUUAAUUUAUUGUUAGCAACAACCGUUAUCUCUGUAAAAUUACUAUUUUACCCUUUCAAAUAUAUCUUUCUAUCGUCACCUACUUUUCUUAUUUGUCUUUAAUAUAGGAACAAAAGAAGUAUUUUAAUUUUUUUUAUCUUUUCAAACAUACCUUUCUACCAGCACCAAAUUUUUUAUUUAUUCUUAAGUUAAAAAUAAAAGAGGUAAUUUUAUUUUUUUUUUAACUCAGGUAAAAUUUUGAGCCGGUUUUAACAUGAGAUAACUUAUCAGGUACUAACAACGGAAGUAUUUUUUGAAUAACGGGGAGCUAUAUUAGAGGUAUAUUUGAAACAAAAAAGAAAACAGGGAUAAAUUAGAUUUGUCAUAAGUUUUUCAGAGG
Molecule: long non-coding RNA, 573 nt
Filed under: Ananas comosus (pineapple)
Lineage: Eukaryota; Viridiplantae; Streptophyta; Magnoliopsida; Poales; Bromeliaceae
Description: long non-coding RNA (ACOM_LNC020445)
Source: RNAcentral